Long non-coding RNA from Polypterus senegalus (gray bichir), 273 nucleotides. RefSeq lists it as uncharacterized. The record is from RefSeq and is a predicted model, not a curated record. The transcript has 3 exons. NCBI's taxonomy places the organism in Eukaryota, Metazoa, Chordata, Cladistia, Polypteriformes, Polypteridae.
GAUGACUCUUCCCACAGUUUGAAUAUGGGGACACAUAGAUGGCUGCUACUGUGUGACACAAAGGAUCGUAAGUGCGAGUUAGGCCAGGAUUCUGUCACCAUGUGGAAAAAAACAUCAUCAUCAGAAGCGCAACUAUAACUGCAAUGGAAAAAUCGAUCAGGAAGAGGAAGGACACAACAGAAGAGACCGAUGGGCCAUGCGAACAGCAGUACCAACCAAAUGGAUGAUGGAAGAAGGGAAAUUGUUCUGGACAGGAAAAAGAGACAUGAUCAU